Molecule: long non-coding RNA, 8021 nt
Filed under: Lactuca sativa (garden lettuce)
Lineage: Eukaryota; Viridiplantae; Streptophyta; Magnoliopsida; Asterales; Asteraceae
Description: long non-coding RNA (LSAT_LNC000139)
Source: RNAcentral
CAUAGCAUACAUGAUCGAUCCAACGGCGGAAGCAUAUGGGAAUCGACUAAGUCCAAUUAGUCUUUUACUCCUAUUUCUUAAAAUCCUUGUUCCCAGAAUAUAAGCAACCUCUCCUAGAUCCUUCAUAGUGAAACACGUUCCAAUCCAGGACUUAACUUCUUGCAAGGUUGGAAUGUCAUUUCAUAUAAGUGUGACAUCCCCAAAAUCUCGGCCAGAAAAGACCGAUUUUCAUUUAUGCUUUUAAAAUAUUUUCAGAGUAAAUCCUUUUGAUUUGAAAGAGUUGCGGAAUUUGUUCCCAAAAACAAAACAUGAUAAAACAAUGUUUACCAAAGCAUUUCAUAAAAGAAAUGUAUUUUUCAUUAUAUAAUCAAAACUCGGGGUGUCAUGUUCCGAUACAGACCAAUAAGCAUAAACGAAUACAUUACAAGUCAUUCAACAAAUAUAAACAUAUGCAGACUUGUAAUCAAAACAACUGAUGGUUCAUCCAUCUCAUGCCCUUGCGCCACUUCCUGUAAUACAAUUAAAACUGAGUGGGUCAGGCUUGGGAGUCUGGUGAGCAUAUAGGGUUUUCAACCCACAAUAAAUAAUCAUAUUUAAUUUUCACCAACCAACAAUAACCCAAUUACCCAUUCCCGUUAUUCUCACUUUAUGUCCCUAAAACAACUAACACAAGGGACCUAGUCUAAGAAUAUUUCAUCGGGGCGACAACACAUGCUUCGGGGGUACCUCAGCAAUAUAAGUCAAAUAAGGCAACCAUGAGGGGGAUGGAGUACAGCAAAUGAACACCCGAGUUCAUUAACACCUACAGGUGGCGAACCUGCUAAUGUUUCCACAAGACUGUCUAGAAUAGCCAGUGGUCGUCAUCUAAACUCCGCUAGAUGACUAAAUCAAACAACAACGAGGCCUCUCAUCUGUUUAUUACACACCAACUAUCUACCCAUGUUCUACCCAACAUAUUAGUAGAUAAAAAUAUACAUUUUUAUACAUAGUUUAAAAACCUGUAUAGCAUGCUUUAAUCAAUACAUAUUCCACAUAACAGAUGAGGCACACACACACAUAACACGUAUUUCAUAGAGAAUAAAUCAUAUCUAUGAGAUAGAAGAAAGUGAAUACACAUUCACACAUAUAAACAACAAUAUACUAUACACAUAGCACGUAUUUUAUAGAAAAUACUUAAUAUUUAUGUGUUAGAAGAAGGUAACUACACACUCACACUUAUAAACAACAAUAUACUUAAUACACUCGAACCAAACUUGUAUUAUUAUCGUGUUUAUGAAAGGUAGUAUACACUCACUUGAUCAGAAGAUGAUCGGACAGCACUACGACUUGCAGAAGUAGUAAUCCUCAGCAGAUCUGGAAGAUCUUCACAAAAAUCGAACUUCUCGCGGGCAGAGCUUCGGCUCGGGAACCGCACUUCUCGGGAUCUUCGGGAUCUCGGGACUUGCCUCGGGGCUCGAGAAUAAUACCGGGGCUUCGGGGUAUUUCUUGCACGCAAAACGAUGCAAAACGGGAGAGAGAAGAGAGAAAAUGAACAAAAGACUCGGCUGCCUUCGGAUCCUAUUUAUAGGAGGCUGGAGCCUCGGAGUACGCGGGGCGUACUGCAGUACGCAGCGCGUACUGCUUCCGAAAUCGUCACUGCAUGCGUCAUCCGAAAUGUCGACACUCUUCGGAGUACGCGGGGCGUACGUCGGAUCGGACCGGUGACUCGUCUUCGGAUAAUGCCGGAUUAAAAGAUUAAUUUUAAUUACAAAAUAUUUAAUAAACUUCGGAAAUUCAUAACUUCUUCAUACGAACUCCGUUUUCGACGUUCUUUAUAUCCACGCGAAGGUGAGACUACGCUCUACAACUUUCGUUUAGACUCCGUCGGCUAAUUUUGACUUUAUUUUUAUUAUUUAUUUUUAAUAGGCCGCGACAGAAAAACUUCGUUAUAAAUUCAUAACUUCUUCGUUUGACGUCCGUUCUCGCCUAACUUUUUAUCGCUUCGAUACCAACAACGAGACCUUCGAUCCUCGUUUAGAUUGCUUCGGCUAAAAACCGCUCGAUCUCAAAUCGAGUAUUUCGGGCUGCACACCGCUAAGCCGAAACUUCGAUAAAUCAUAACUUCCUCAUACGAAGUCAGAUUUGGGCGUUCUAUAUAUAUUCGGAAACCUCGUUUCAACUACUACAACAUUAACCAAAGAUAUUAAGUUUAUUUUACACUUAAAUUUUGACGCUUAUUUUUAUUCUUAAUUAAUCAAACCACAUAAUUAAGCAAUUAAGCACAAAACACAUAAUACUCAAAUAAUACAAUCUUAUUAUUUCAAAACGGGUUACAAAGGUUAACCUAGACUAUUACAUUGCUAAAAAUGGCAAGCCCGGAAACACAGGCGUUACAAUUCUCUCCACCUUAGAAUGAUUCCGUCCCCGGAAUCACACAUCAACAAACAAAUGCGGAUAGCGACUCAACAUGUCACUCUCCGUCUCCCAGGUGAGAUUCGGCCCAUUCGUGUGUUUCCAUCGGACAAGCACUAACCCAACCAUUUUGCGUCGCAACUUCUUAGUCUUUCGGUCAACAAUUGCCUCUGGUUCUUCAAUCAACCUUUUGUUCUCAUCAAUUCUCAAUUCAGAAAUUGGAAUUAUAUCGGGAACUUCUCCCGUGAACUUCCUCAAAUAACACACAUGAAAAGUGUUGUGAAUUCCAUUCAGUUCUUCGGGUAAUUCGAGCUUGUAAGCUUGAUUCCCAAUCCUCUGAAGGACUUUAAACGGUCCAAUAAACCUUGGACUCAACUUUCCCCUUUUACCAAAUCUUAUAAGUCCCUUCCACGGCGAGACUUUAAGCAAAACCGAAUCUCCAACCUCAAAAGUCAUCGGUCUUCGCUUCUUGUCAGCAUAGCUCUUUUGACGAUCUUGAGCUGCUAACAUUCUUUCUCUAAUUAUUUUCAACUUUUCAGCAGUUUGAUGAACCAUCUCCGGUCCCAUAAACUGCUUUUCCCCAGCCUCAAGCCAACAAGACGGCGUACGACACUUCUGUCCAUACAAAGCUUGAUAAGGUGCCAUCUUAAUGCUCGAGUGAAAACUAUUAUUAUAGGAAAAUUCUACCAACGGUAAAUGUUCAUCCCAAUUACCUAGGAAUUCCAAGGUACAUGCUCUCAGCAUAUCUUCAAGUGUUUGUAUUGUUCUUUCACUCUGACCAUCAGUCUGCGGAUGGUAAGCUGUGCUUAAACAUAACUUGGUACCCAUUUCCUCUUGUAGACUUUUCCAAAACCUUGAGGUGAAACGGCUAUCACGAUCCGAUACAAUCGUUAACGGAACACCGUGAAGCCUCACAAUUUCCUUCACGUAAGAAUUCGCAAGCUUUUCCAUAGACCAUUUCUCCCUGGCCGCUAUGAAAUGCGCACUCUUAGUGAAUCGAUCAACGACCACCCAAAUCAUGUCGUGACCAUUCUUUGUUCUGGGCAGUUUAGUGACAAAAUCCAUAGCAAUGUCUUCCCACUUACCCAUAGGCACAGGCAAAGGUUCUAAACUCCCGUACGGUUUCUGAUGUUGUGUCUUGACUCUCGCACAAGUCACACACUCGGCCACAUACUUUGCAACAUCAAGCUUCAUCGUCGGCCACCAGUAGUAGGGUUUCAGGUCCCUAUACAUUUUAGUGCUACCCGGAUGAAUCGAGUACAUGGUCUUGUGAGCUUCUUCCAUCAGAAGAUCUCUAAUUCCUCCUGACUUAGGUACCCAAAUACGAUCUUGGAAUACCUUCAGUCCAUGACCGUUAGUACCAAACACCAACGUUUUACCCAAACGUUCCUCCUUUCGGUCAUUUUUCUCAGAAGCUUCCUCUUGAGCUUUCUUUAUACUUUCCACAAUGGUCGAGACAACUUCAAUUCUCAACGCUCUUGGCCUCUUCCUUUCAAGAUUGACCUUCCGACUGAGAGCAUCAGCAACAACAUUAGCUUUACCGGGGUGGUAAAGUAUCUCGCAGUCGUAGUCUUUAAGUAAUUCUAGCCAGCGUCGUUGCCUCAUAUUCAAUUCUUUCUGAUUAAAGAGGUAUUGGAGACUCUUAUGAUCAGUGAAAAGUUUGCACUUCGUGCCAUAGAGGUAAUGCCUCCAUAUUUUCAGAGCGAAAACUACCGCUGCCAACUCCAAAUCAUGAGUCGGGUAAUUCUUUUCAUGCUCUUUCAGCUGUCGAGACGCAUAUGCUAUCACCUUUUCUCUUUGGGUCAAAACACAACCCAAUCCAACACCAGACGCAUCGCUAUAAACAGCGAAGUCUUCAACUCCAUCGGGUAGAGAAAGUAUCGGUGCCUCGCAUAGCUUCUUCUUUAACUUCUCGAAUGCUUCUUUAUGCUUCUCACUCCAAGCAUAAGUAGCUCCUUUGUGGGUCAAAGCUGUUAAUGGAGUAGCAAUCGAAGAAAAGCCUUGGAUAAACCUUCGGUAAUAUCCGGCUAAUCCUAAAAAGCUUCGAAUCUCCGUGGGACUUUUCGGUUGUUCCCACUUCGUCACAGCUUCGAUCUUCGCUGGAUCAACCAUUAUCCCUUCUUGGUUGACCACGUGACCCAAGAAUUGGACUUCACGAAUCCAAAAAUCACAUUUGGAGAACUUCGCAUAAAGCUUCUCCUUCUUCAAAACUUCUAACACUUCUCGCAAGUGUCUGCCAUGCUCCUCCUGGCUUUUCGAGUAGAUCAGAAUGUCGUCUAUGAACACUAUCACGGAUUUAUCAAGGAAAGGAUUACAAACCCUAUUCAUCAAAUCCAUGAACGCUGCUGGAGCAUUGGUUAGUCCAAACGACAUAACCAAGAACUCGUAGUGUCCAUAUCUAGUUCUGAAUGCAGUCUUCUCGAUAUCUUGCUCUCUUACUUUCAGCUGAUGAUAUCCUGACCUAAGAUCGAUCUUCGAGAAAUAGCUCGAACCUUGCAAUUGAUCAAACAGGUCAUCAAUCCUCGGCAACGGAUAUCUAUUCUUUAUUGUUGCCUUGUUCAGCUCUCUGUAAUCGAUGCACAUUCUCAUACUUCCAUCUUUCUUCUUUACAAAUAACACCGGAGCUCCCCAGGGCGAUGAACUAGGUCUAAUGAAACCUUUGUCCAAUAACUCCUGAAGUUGCAUCAUUAGCUCCUUCAUCUCCGUCGGUGCUAAUCGAUAAGGUGCUUUUGCUAUUGGCGUGGUUCCUGGUAACAAGUCUAUUCUGAACUCCACUUGUCUAUCAGGUGGUAAUCCAGGAAGAUCCUCGGGAAAUACUUCCGGAUAAUCACACACCACUGGAAUGCUCUGCAUCACCUUCUUUUCUUUCUUAGCAUCAAUCACGAAUGCUAAAUAUGAUGUACAUCCCUUGGUCAAACACUUUCUGGCUUUCAUUAGAGAAAUGAUUCCAGAAUUCACUCUGCGUUUGUCCCCAUACACCAUAAACGAAUCUUUUCCAGGCGGGUUUACUUUAACUAUCUUCUUCUUGCACAAAAUUUCGGCAUCAUUGGCGCUAAGCCAAUCCAUUCCCAAGACGAUGUCGAAACCAUUUAGUUCGAUAGGCAAUAAUUCCUCGAGAAACUUAUUCCCAUUAAGGUCGAUCAAGACGUUUUUCAUACGAUGGCUAACAGGUACAAACUUGCCACUAGCUACUUCGACUAAUAAAGCAUUAUUUAGUCUAUCAACAGGCAAAGCUAGCUUUCUACCAAACUCAUGCGAAAUAAAGGAGUAGUUGGCUCCAGAAUCAAACAAUAUAUGAGCAGGUAAUUCGUUUACGAGAAAGGUACCUGAAGCGACAUCAGCUUCAUCUUUCGCAGCCUCAAGUGUCAUCUGGAAGGCUCUCGCCUUCGGCUUUGGUGGAAUGUUGGGCCUAGCUGCCUCCUUCUUCUUCGGACAGUCUUUCAAAAUAUGCCCCUCUUCAUUACAACCAAAACACAUCCUUUUGUUGUUCGGACAUUCAUUGGCAAAAUGUCCAACCUUUCCACACUUGUAGCAGGUCACAUCCUCGCUACAUUUCCCAAAGUGCUUUUUCUUACACUUAUCACACCACUUUGCUUCGCCUCCUUUUCCUCCAAACUUUUUCGAAUCAGAUUUCGAAAAUUUGCUCUUCUUACUGGAACCAGAUGUUCCUUCAAACUUCCUUUUCUCACCAACCUCAACCUUGACGGUGGUUCUCCCCUUGAUCAUGUUCUCCACAGACUUGGCAGCCCAGAUAGCUGCCUCUAGAGUAAGUGCCUGACGUACCGGCACCUCGUACUCCCAUGGAAGUCCCUUCGCAUACCGAUCCACCUUUGUCAGCUCGUCUGGAACGAUACGCAAGGCAAACUCCAUCUUAUCGGUGAAGUUAUUGGUGUAUUCAUCAACUGACAUGCUACCCUUCGUCAAUGUCAAAAACUUAUUCUCCAACUCCAACAGAUUUUGAGCCGAGCAGAACUUGCGCUUGAACUGCACCAAGAACUCUGCCCAUGACAAUUGCAGUGGCUCAUUAGGGCUUAAGGUCUUCCCUAGAGUGUUCCACCAACGAACGGCUCCACCUCGGAAUUGUCGCACGGCAUAGAUAGUCUGCAACUUACCUCUGCAGCCACAUGUCAUAAAGGCUAACUCCAUUUCGGAGAUCCAAUCCAUAACCCCAAUCGGAUCCUCCUUUCCAUUGAAGGUCGAUGGUUUGCAAGUCAAAAAGUCCUUGUACUUGCAUCCCAUUCCAUCAUUCCUUCCUUCAUGGUUAUCUUGCCUAACUAUCGGUGGGUUGGCUGGACCAACAGACCCACUGAAGUUUCCACCUUCCGAGUGCCCUUCAUUUAAUUCAGGCUCUUCCACACGAAUCGACAGUUCUUCACGAUUUUGUUGAAGCAACCGUCUAGUUUCAUCCAUCUGACGAUCCAACAUCGUCUGAAUCAUCAAUUGCACACCAGCCAUGGUUAUUGGCUCAGGUGCUGCUGCUACGACAGGUAUUGGCUCAAUCACUGGUGGUUGAUUCCUGUUUUCGUCAGCAUUUCCAACUCCACUUCUUGUUCUCACCAUUUUGAUCUACACCCCGAAUAAGGUGAAAUUAGAUCCUCAAUCAUGAUAGAUAUUCAAAUCAUCCUUAUCACUCCGAAACGUUUACAUGCUAGUUCUAAUAUCGUAGACGUACGCUUAGAAUCCUACACACAUAAGGUUUCUAGAUCCGGUCGGCAACAGACCAUAGAUCCGAACAAAUAAUAUCAUAUAUGGCAACAUAUAACAUUUAGCACAUAAAGCAUUUUAGGCAACUUUCCUAAAAUAAACUAGUGCUCGUGUCUAAAACACAACAGACACACAUCUCAAAACUUCACUUAGCAUUCUAAGUUUAAGUCUAGAAAUCCUACAAAUUCCUAGUUCGCUUAAACUAAUGCUCUGAUACCAACUGUGACAUCCCCAAAAUCUCGGCCAGAAAAGACCGAUUUUCAUUUAUGCUUUUAAAUAUUUUCAGAGUAAAUCCUUUUGAUUUGAAAGAGUUGCGGAAUUUGUUCCCAAAAACAAAACAUGAUAAAACAUUGUUUACCGAAGCAUUUCAUAAAAGAAAUGUAUUUUCAUUAUAAUCAAAACUCGGGGUGUCAUGUUCCGAUACAGACCAAUAAGCAUAAACGAAUACAUUACAAGUCAUAUAACAAAUAUAAACAUAUGCAGACUUGUAAACAAAACAACUUGAUGGUUCAUCCAUCUCAUGCCCUUCCGCCACUACCUGUAAUACAAUUUAAAACUGAGUGGGUCAGGCUUGGGAGCCUGGUGAGCAUAUAGGGUUUUCAACCCACAAUAAAUAUCAUAUUUAAUUUUCACCAACCAACAAUAACCCAAUUACCCAUUCCCGUUAUUCUCACUUUAAUGUCCCUAAAACAACUAACAUAAGGGACCUAGUCUAAGAAUAUUUCAUCGGGGCGACAACACAUGCUUCGGGGGUACCUCAGCAAUAUAAGUCAAAUAAGGCAACCAUGAGGGGGAUGGAGUACAGCGAAUGAACACCCAAGUUCAUUAACACCUACAGGUGGCGAACCUGCUAAUGUUUCCACAAGACUGUCUAGAAUAGCCAGUGGUCGUCAUCUAAACUCCGCUAGAUGACUCAAUCAAACAAC